Non-coding RNA from Pelobates cultripes (western spadefoot toad), 244 nucleotides. Lineage: Eukaryota; Metazoa; Chordata; Amphibia; Anura; Pelobatidae. The record is from the annotation of a GenBank genome assembly.
CCUAAACCUGCUAAGGCUCCGGCCACGGCCUCAAGAGAUGUGAUAAUCACUCUUCGUAAACGUAAAGACAAAGCAACUAUUCUCGCAGCCCUGCGGGGAAGAACCCCCCUCUGCUUUGAGACCAUGAACCUGAUAUUCUACCCGGACCUAUCCGGAGGCACCCUGGCCUGGCGUAGGUCACGCAAGCCGAUCACCUCUGUGCUCCAAUCCCACAACAUCGAGUACCGCUGGCGCUCCCCAAGGG